UGAAUUUUAACUCAAUAAUAUAUCAUAAUAAAAUUAUAAAUUUCAAAUUCAAGUCUCAUUGGAAAUCAAUAAAAAAAAAAAUUUACUUUAUCAUAAAUGGUUGUAUCAACAAAAUAAAUUAUAUCCCAAGCCAGUUUUACAAUCAAAGUCAGAAAUUUGAAUAUUCACCACUGUUAGAAGGGCUUUAGUUGAAUAUCUCCUUGAUCCGAGCGUAGAUUAAUCACAU
RNAcentral lists this unclassified non-coding RNA (226 nucleotides) under Hevea brasiliensis (rubber tree). The record is from RNAcentral. Lineage: Eukaryota; Viridiplantae; Streptophyta; Magnoliopsida; Malpighiales; Euphorbiaceae.